UACAGAGGGUGCAAGCGUUGCUCGGAAUCAUUGGGCGUAAAGGGUAGGUAGGUGGUCUCGUUUGUCUGGGGUGAAAGCCCAGGGCUUAACCCUGGAAGUGCCCCGGAAACGGCGAGACUCGAGUCUUGGAGAGGGUCGUGGAAUUCCCGGUGUAGCGGUGAAAUGCGUAGAGAUCGGGAGGAACACCAGCGGCGAAGGCGGCGACCUGGACAAGUACUGACACUCAACUACGAAAGCGUGGGGAGCAAACAGG
RNAcentral lists this ribosomal RNA (253 nucleotides) under uncultured bacterium. RNAcentral's name for it is "partial 16S ribosomal RNA". It matches the Rfam family "Bacterial small subunit ribosomal RNA", at positions 524 to 776 of the family's 1533-position model. The record is from RNAcentral.